GGAUAUUGGUUUGAUGCAUAUUAAAAAAAAUACUAGUUUUUGUUUUUUAGAGGAGGUAGACUUAGACUGGAUUAAAGAAUAAAGAAGGACAAAGAGCCAUUCUUUCAAUGUAGUCUUAUAAAGCAGUUGUCUUGCUUAACCUUUGGCUUUUGGAUCUUGGUUUGUUGUGCUUUCCUUUUUCUUUUCCAUGCUGUCUCACCUGCUCCCUUAUUCGAGAUGGAUUUGAUGUUUACGUUUUUCCUCACAAUUUUUUUUAAUAUUUGGAAUGCUUGAUAUUCCCGUUUACCAGCAUGAUUGCACCUCUAUUUUUGCUUCUUUGGUCUUUUUUUUUUUGGCUGAUUUUCUUUGUUGUAGUUUUUCCAGUUUCUUUCAGCUUUUACAUUAGUUAGGUUUCCUUUCUCUUGGACUGUCAACUUAAAAAAUUGUCUGAAAAGGUGGCCUUUGGAGCUUGUUUGCUUCAUCUCAGGCAUGCUGUGAUUUGUGGAUCCAUUGUACAUUCUUAUUGUUUUAGUGGUUAGCAUCAUCAAGCUAGUCCUCGAGGUGCUAGCUUCUCCUUUUUUUUCAGUUGUUAUUUCCUAUACCAUGCUGUGCUUCCUGUCUGCAGUUCUGUGUUCUUUGCUUCUUGUGCGUGUGUGUGUGUGUGUUUUUUUUUUGCUUGGCUGUUCGUUGUGAUAGUCUAGAUUGCACAUGGUUUACUUGCUUCAGAGAUGUUUGUAGAGUUUAUAUGUUGUGAAUUGAAAUAUGUGCAUGUUUUGAUUGUUCUGCUUUUUUCUCAAUAAAUUUGUUGGUCAACCAAUGGUUAAAUGUGUAUACAAGUAACACUUUGUUUUUCCUUUCUAAGGGGUUCUCUUUUUCCUGGUUUGAUUUUGUUUCAGUCUAGCAGUUAAACUUUUGCUCUGCUCUAUUUCUUUAGAUCUUUGUUUAAUGCCUGGUUUCUUUGGCUGCUUAAUUACCAGCUCUUCUUGUUUUCAACAAAACUGAAUGCUUGCUUUUUUGUUCUAAAAUUUGCUCUUCUACUUCAUUAAGGCAUUGUGCCUUUGCCCCAGCCUUCGUUUUUUAUACUGGUUUGUGUCUUUUCUGUUCUUUUUAUCUUUCAAUGUUGUAUCCUUAGAUUUCUUUCUUUUAUCUUUUCCGUCUAUGUGCUGUAACUUUACUUGUGCAUUUAGAUUGUGCUCUUAUUCUCCCCCGUCUUCCCCCCUUUUCUCUAGCUUAUAAGCUUGGUUUCAAUGUGGCCGACAGAGGCCAGGGUUACUUUGCCUGAAGUGCUUAAUUAUGUAAACUUUGCUGUAUUAAUUUGGAGGGAAUCCAAUCAUGUAAACUUCGCCAUACUAAUUUUCCCUGCCCUUUCUUUUUCUUUAUUAUCUUGAAUUUAUCCUACCAAUUUUCGAGCCACUGUUUGUGUUCUGAUACAUUCCUAUCCCCUUCUGUUCUUGCUUUUCCUUUGCUUUCCCUGCUCUUUCUUUUUCUUUAUUAUCUUGAAUUUAUCCUAUCAAUUUUCGAGUCACUGUUUUUUUUCUUUUACAUUCCUAUCCCCUUCUUUUCUUGCUUUUCCUUUUCGCUUUGCUUCUUCUGGUCUCCAGCUCAUUAUUUUGCUGAGCGUGAAAUCUGUUUUUUUUUUUUUAUUGUGUUAGGUAGAUUAUUAAAGUUCAUAAGUUCUAUUAUUGAAGUCACUUGUGUUGAUUAUCUGCGGGUUCAUUUUUUUGCUUAUUUAUUAAGUUAAGUGGCUGAUUCAAAUGUUUGUUAACAUGAAUUCUUUGUUGUUAUGACUGGUCUAUUCUGGUUUAUUGAAAUUGGAAGCCCUUGUCCUUGUUCUUUUGUGUGCCUCUCAGUGUUAGGAAAAUUGACUAGCUCUCUGUAUACAUUCUUUGGUAUCCUAGGUUCUGUAAUUAAGGAUCUAUUGUUUCAGAUUGACAGUUUAAGGUUGAAAUGACUGAAUCAUAAAGAAAACCAUCCAUCUAAAUAUUUAAAACGGGAGCUCAGGUUCUUUGUUGUCCUGAUUGUGGACCUCCAAUUUCAGAAGAUUUCUGAUUUCUGGAGUGCAGAGCUUAUGAAUUUGAACCCCAGGGCUUGUGCAAAUAGAUGAAUCCAUUCCAGAGCUGUUUGGAUCCACUGAAUAAUCUGAUCAAGCUGUUUCUAUCUUCCUAGAUGUUGCUGGAAAUGAAUCUUUGACCAAGAAAACUUAUUAAGCAACAGGAUAUAUGAGAUGCAAAACUGCAAAGUGAAAUGUUUGCAGUUUACAUUACUCAUGAGCUAAUGUCUUUGCAUUUUGGGUUCACACUUGGAGAUAAAAGGAUGGUCAACCUCAUGAAUGUUGGUUUUUUUGUUGCUGGAAUUCUCUGUGUUCUCAGUAAAGCUGGCAUUGAUUACUUUUACUACAUUGAAGCUAAUAACUGAUAUCUAAAUCAUAUAAACAGAAUCUGACGUUUCCUGACCGAUUAGCAGCAGCUAUUCAUUACUUUGAUCUGCUUUGUAUGCCAUUCUGCUGUAGAAUUUAAGGACAGACAAAAUGAAACAAAUAAUUGUUUAAGCAUGUUGAUACUUCUUGAGCUUUGGUACUUACUUAAUGAAUCAGUAGCCACUGGAUUGAAAUUUCUCAAAAGCCUGUGCUAAGAAUAUUUUUAGCAGAAGAAGUGCAUAUUACAAGAGUCAUGGCAACCUAGGCGGUUGAUCACCCAGAACUUCUGUUGUACUUCUUUUGACUGCAGCUGUGGCUGUGUUGCUUGAUAUGGCUUCGCUUGUAUCUGAUGAUUCAUUAGGCAGGCUGGCAGAUCUGAUGCAACAACGCCGUACAUAAAGAUUUACUUGCACCUUCUCUUGCAAUUGAUCGAGAAGUUAUUCAAAGCAUGGUAUCAUGCAUAGAUAUGAAAGUGACUUGGAGUAGGCACUGAGAUUAGUUAUUCAGUGCAGAUAAAUUCUGGAUUGAUGAAGUCCGUAAGGUAUGGUUGGACCUAAAUAAUGUCUUUACGAGGAUGAUAUAUCUCUUAGGCGCUGUGUUGUCCAUGCUUCAUCCAGGCUGAUCAAAAUGUUCUUCUACAGGAUGGACUAUCUACUUGUAGUUGAUGAAGGUUUAACAAAACAAUUGUAUCAAGCUCCUGUGUUUAAUUAUCGAAUUUCUAGUAUCACGAACAAAGUCAUGUUUUCGGUUUUCUUGAGAAUUAAUGCAGAAAAAAAAAAAGGAAGAAUUUUCCUUCAAGAA
Molecule: RNA transcript, 3196 nt
Organism: Coffea eugenioides
Lineage: Eukaryota; Viridiplantae; Streptophyta; Magnoliopsida; Gentianales; Rubiaceae
Exons: 2
Source: RefSeq, a predicted model, not a curated record